RNAcentral lists this ribosomal RNA (436 nucleotides) under uncultured Anaerovorax sp. RNAcentral's name for it is "partial 16S ribosomal RNA". It matches the Rfam family "Bacterial small subunit ribosomal RNA", at positions 341 to 792 of the family's 1533-position model. The record is from RNAcentral. Lineage: Bacteria; Bacillati; Bacillota; Clostridia; Peptostreptococcales; Anaerovoracaceae.
ACGGAAGGCAGCAGUGGGGAAUAUUGCACAAUGGGCGAAAGCCUGAUGCAGCAACGCCGCGUGAAGGAUGAAGGCCUUUGGGUCGUAAACUUCUGUCCUUGGGGACGAAACAAAUGACGGUACCCUUGGAGGAAGCCCCGGCUAACUACGUGCCAGCAGCCGCGGUAAUACGUAGGGGGCGAGCGUUAUCCGGAAUUAUUGGGCGUAAAGAGUGCGUAGGUGGUCUUUUAAGCGCGGGGUGAAAGGCAAUGGCUUAACCAUUGUUAGCCUUGCGAACUGGGAGACUUGAGUGCAGGAGAGGAAAGCGGAAUUCCUAGUGUAGCGGUGAAAUGCGUAGAUAUUAGGAGGAACACCAGUGGCGAAGGCGGCUUUCUGGACUGUAACUGACACUGAGGCACGAAAGUGUGGGGAGCAAACAGGAUUAGAUACCCUGGUA